Molecule: ribosomal RNA, 292 nt
Filed under: uncultured bacterium
Lineage: Bacteria
Description: partial 16S ribosomal RNA
Rfam family: Bacterial small subunit ribosomal RNA
Source: RNAcentral
GUGCCAGCAGCCGCGGUAAAACGUAGGAGGCGAGCGUUAUCCGGAUUUACUGGGCGUAAAGGGCGUGCAGGUGGCUGUGUAAGUGGUGCGUGAAAGCGCUCGGCUCAACCGGGCGAGGCCGUGCCAAACUGCACAACUAGAAACAGGCAGAGGAAAGUGGAAUUCGGGGUGUAGUGGUGAAAUGCGUAGAGAUCCCGAGGAACUCCUGUGGCGAAGGCGACUUUCUGGGCCUGCUUUGACACUCAGACGCGAAAGCAUGGGGAGCGAACGGGAUUAGAAACCCUUGUAGUCC